AUUGAACGCUGGCGGCAGGCCUAACACAUGCAAGUCGAGCGGAUGGAGGGAGCUUGCUCCUGGAUUCAGCGGCGGACGGGUGAGUAAUGCCUAGGAAUCUGCCUGGUAGUGGGGGAUAACGUCCGGAAACGGGCGCUAAUACCGCAUACGUCCUGAGGGAGAAAGUGGGGGAUCUUCGGACCUCACGCUAUCAGAUGAGCCUAGGUAGGAUUAGCUAGUUGGUGGGGUAAAGGCCUACCAAGGCGACGAUCCGUAACUGGUCUGAGAGGAUGAUCAGUCACACUGGAACUGAGACACGGUCCAGACUCCUACGGGAGGCAGCAGUGGGGAAUAUUGGACAAUGGGCGAAAGCCUGAUCCAGCCAUGCCGCGUGUGUGAAGAAGGUCUUCGGAUUGUAAAGCACUUUAAGUUGGGAGGAAGGGCAGUAAGUUAAUACCUUGCUGUUUUGACGUUACCAACAGAAUAAGCACCGGCUAACUUCGUG
Molecule: ribosomal RNA, 484 nt
Filed under: uncultured bacterium
Lineage: Bacteria
Description: partial 16S ribosomal RNA
Rfam family: Bacterial small subunit ribosomal RNA
Source: RNAcentral